AUACCGGGGUAGCCCUCUGU
RNAcentral lists this ribosomal RNA (20 nucleotides) under Robbauera albescens. Its description in RNAcentral is "partial 18S ribosomal RNA". Lineage: Eukaryota; Fungi; Basidiomycota; Exobasidiomycetes; Robbauerales; Robbaueraceae. The record is from RNAcentral.